AUUCUGCGCAUGCGUCAGAGGAUCGUUAGCCCUCAGACUUGCCAAGGCAAAGUUCGAGGGCGCCAUGUUUUCACGGGAAGACGGUGGAAGACGACAUGGACGGUCGUUUAACAAGGAAAUGCAUCGAUGUGGAGCCAUAUGGCGUCUCAGAAGCAGAUUCCUCUCUGUGUGUAAAACAGCAGCUUGCACCAACUAAGACGCCUGACUGAGAAGAAUAUUGAAGGACGUUGACGCUCAAGAAUUUGGUCUCAAAAGCUUAGACAAGGGUGGGGGUAUGCUGGAGCCUAUCCCAGCUGACUUCGGGCGAGAGGCGGUGCACACCCUGGACUGGUGGCCAGCCAAUCACAGGGCGCAUAUAGACAAACAACCAUUCACACUCACAUUCAUACCUAUGGACAAUUUGGAGUGGCUAAUUAACCUAGCAUGUUUUUGGAAUGUGGGAGGAAACCGGAGUACCUGGAGAAAACCCACGCAUGCACGGAGAGAACAUGCAAACUCCACAGAGAUGCAACGGAGAAUCGAACCCAGUCUUUGGUUUAGUUAUGAAAUGUUUAAUUUAUUUCACAGGUACCCCAACCUGUGGAUGUGUUGUGUUUUUGUGCACCGUGAUCAAGUAUGUCCUUCCUUUUGAUGACCACAUAUAUAAACAGCCCCUCUGCCAAAUGUUUUCAUUCAAUGUGGCUGGCAAGUAUAACUGAUGUCUGAUGUGUGGAACAUGACACGUGUUGAACCAUUUCACUGUUAUUGCAAGUUAAGUUCCAGUUCAGCACAUUUUAUUGUGUCUUUUAAUUGUAAUUAAUUGUAUAAUUGUGAAUGUAAAACAAAUCUCCAAUGAUUUAUAAUGUUUUCUAUGGUAUUUCUAACCGCACUCAUCACUGCUGGAAGUAAAUACAGCGUUACUACAAAUGUAGUAAAGGUGUUCUAGUUUGAAAGAAUGGCGGUCUAGUGGUUAGCGCGCAGACCUCACAGCUAGGGGACCAGGGUUCAAUUUCACCCUCAGGCAUCGCUGUGUGGAGUUUGCAUGUUCUCC
Non-coding RNA from Doryrhamphus excisus (bluestripe pipefish), 1030 nucleotides. Lineage: Eukaryota; Metazoa; Chordata; Actinopteri; Syngnathiformes; Syngnathidae. The record is from RefSeq and is a predicted model, not a curated record.